CAGUAGCCGCGGGAAAACGGAGGGGGCUAGCGUUGUUCGGAAUUACUGGGCGUAAAGCGCACGUAGGCGGCUUGGUAAGUCAGGGGUGAAAUCCCAGAGCUCAACUCUGGAACUGCCUUUGAUACUGGGUAUCUUGAGUAUGGAAGAGGUUAGUGGAAUUGCGAGUGUAGAGGUGAAAUUCGUAGAUAUUCGCAGGAACACCAGUGGCGAAGGCGGCUAACUGGUCCAUAACUGACGCUGAGGUGCGAAAGCGUGGGGAGCAAACAGGAUUAGAUACCCGCGUAGUCCCUGUCUCUUAUAC
This 301-nucleotide ribosomal RNA is filed under the name uncultured bacterium. RNAcentral describes it as "partial 16S ribosomal RNA". It matches the Rfam family "Bacterial small subunit ribosomal RNA", at positions 509 to 807 of the family's 1533-position model. The record is from RNAcentral.